Long non-coding RNA from Sinocyclocheilus rhinocerous, 103 nucleotides. RefSeq lists it as uncharacterized. The record is from RefSeq and is a predicted model, not a curated record. The transcript has 2 exons. Lineage: Eukaryota; Metazoa; Chordata; Actinopteri; Cypriniformes; Cyprinidae.
UGAAUAGAAAGUCAUACAGCUUUGGAACGUCAUAGCGAAAGAGCAGGUGAAACAACAGUGGAAGAAGAGGGGAAUUGAGAAUGAGGAAGGAUCCAGAAAAGGA